This 810-nucleotide ribosomal RNA is filed under the name Mycobacterium sp. FL04-5-253F. RNAcentral describes it as "bacterial SSU rRNA". It matches the Rfam family "Bacterial small subunit ribosomal RNA", at positions 162 to 967 of the family's 1533-position model. The record is from RNAcentral. Lineage: Bacteria; Bacillati; Actinomycetota; Actinomycetes; Mycobacteriales; Mycobacteriaceae.
UCUAAUACCGGAAUAGGACCACAGUAACACAUGAUCCUGUGGCUGGAAAGCUUUUGCGGUGUGGGAUGGGCCCGCGGCCUAUCAGCUUGUUGGUGGGGUGAUGGCCCACCAAGGCGACGACGGGUAGCCGGCCUGAGAGGGUGUCCGGCCACACUGGGACUGAGAUACGGCCCAGACUCCUACGGGAGGCAGCAGUGGGGAAUAUUGCACAAUGGGCGAAAGCCUGAUGCAGCGACGCCGCGUGGGGGAUGACGGCCUUCGGGUUGUAAACCUCUUUCACCAUCGACGAAGGUCCGGGUUUUCUCGGAUUGACGGUAGGUGGAGAAGAAGCACCGGCCAACUACGUGCCAGCAGCCGCGGUAAUACGUAGGGUGCGAGCGUUGUCCGGAAUUACUGGGCGUAAAGAGCUCGUAGGUGGUUUGUCGCGUUGUUCGUGAAAUCUCACGGCUUAACUGUGAGCGUGCGGGCGAUACGGGCAGACUUGAGUACUGCAGGGGAGACUGGAAUUCCUGGUGUAGCGGUGGAAUGCGCAGAUAUCAGGAGGAACACCGGUGGCGAAGGCGGGUCUCUGGGCAGUAACUGACGCUGAGGAGCGAAAGCGUGGGGAGCGAACAGGAUUAGAUACCCUGGUAGUCCACGCCGUAAACGGUGGGUACUAGGUGUGGGUUUCCUUCCUUGGGAUCCGUGCCGUAGCUAACGCAUUAAGUACCCCGCCUGGGGAGUACGGCCGCAAGGCUAAAACUCAAAGAAAUUGACGGGGGCCCGCACAAGCGGCGGAGCAUGUGGAUUAAUUCGAUGCAAUCGCGAAGA